This 253-nucleotide ribosomal RNA is filed under the name uncultured bacterium. RNAcentral describes it as "partial 16S ribosomal RNA". It matches the Rfam family "Bacterial small subunit ribosomal RNA", at positions 524 to 776 of the family's 1533-position model. The record is from RNAcentral.
UACGAGGGGGGCAAGCGUUGUUCGGAAUUACUGGGCGUAAAGCGCGCGUAGGUGGUUUGUUAAGUUGGAUGUGAAAUCCCCGGGCUCAACCUGGGAACUGCAUUCAAAACUGACAAGCUAGAGUAUGGUAGAGGGUGGUGGAAUUUCCUGUGUAGCGGUGAAAUGCGUAGAUAUAGGAAGGAACACCAGUGGCGAAGGCGACCACCUGGACUGAUACUGACACUGAGGUGCGAAAGCGUGGGGAGCAAACAGG